Molecule: ribosomal RNA, 489 nt
Filed under: uncultured bacterium
Lineage: Bacteria
Description: partial 16S ribosomal RNA
Rfam family: Bacterial small subunit ribosomal RNA
Source: RNAcentral
UUGAACGCUGGCGGCAGGCCUAACACAUGCAAGUCGAACGGUAACAGGAAGAAGCUUGCUUCUUUGCUGACGAGUGGCGGACGGGUGAGUAAUGUCUGGGCAACUGCCUGAUGGAGGGGGAUAACUACUGGAAACGGUAGCUAAUACCGCAUAACGUCGCAAGACCAAAGAGGGGGACCUUCGGGCCUCUUGCCAUCGGAUGUGCCCAGAUGGGAUUAGCUAGUAGGUGGGGUAACGGCUCACCUAGGCGACGAUCCCUAGCUGGUCUGAGAGGAUGACCAGCCACACUGGAACUGAGACACGGUCCAGACUCCUACGGGAGGCAGCAGUGGGGAAUAUUGCACAAUGGGCGCAAGCCUGAUGCAGCCAUGCCGCGUGUAUGAAGAAGGCCUUCGGGUUGUAAAGUACUUUCAGCGGGGAGGAAGGGAGUAAAGUUAAUACCUUUGCUCAUUGACGUUACCCGCAGAAGAAGCACCGGCUAACUCCGUG